UUGAAGAGUUUGAUCAUGGCUCAGAUUGAACGCUGGCGGCAGGCCUAACACAUGCAAGUCGAGCGGUAGCACAGAGAGCUUGCUCUCGGGUGACGAGCGGCGGACGGGUGAGUAAUGUCUGGGAAACUGCCUGAUGGAGGGGGAUAACUACUGGAAACGGUAGCUAAUACCGCAUAACGUCGCAAGACCAAAGUGGGGGACCUUCGGGCCUCAUGCCAUCAGAUGUGCCCAGAUGGGAUUAGCUAGUAGGUGGGGUAACGGCUCACCUAGGCGACGAUCCCUAGCUGGUCUGAGAGGAUGACCAGCCACACUGGAACUGAGACACGGUCCAGACUCCUACGGGAGGCAGCAGUGGGGAAUAUUGCACAAUGGGCGCAAGCCUGAUGCAGCCAUGCCGCGUGUGUGAAGAAGGCCUUCGGGUUGUAAAGCACUUUCAGCGGGGAGGAAGGCGAUAAGGUUAAUAACCUUGGCGAUUGACGUUACCCGCAGAAGAAGCACCGGCUAACUCCGUGCCAGCAGCCGCGGUAAUACGGAGGGUGCAAGCGUUAAUCGGAAUUACUGGGCGUAAAGCGCACGCAGGCGGUCUGUCAAGUCGGAUGUGAAAUCCCCGGGCUCAACCUGGGAACUGCAUUCGAAACUGGCAGGCUAGAGUCUUGUAGAGGGGGUAGAAUUCCAGGUGUAGCGGUGAAAUGCGUAGAGAUCUGGAGGAAUACCGGUGGCGAAGGCGGCCCCCUGGACAAAGACUGACGCUCAGGUGCGAAAGCGUGGGGAGCAAACAGGAUUAGAUACCCUGGUAGUCCACGCCGUAAACGAUGUCGAUUUGGAGGUUGUGCCCUUGAGGCGUGGCUUCCGGAGCUAACGCGUUAAAUCGACCGCCUGGGGAGUACGGCCGCAAGGUUAAAACUCAAAUGAAUUGACGGGGGCCCGCACAAGCGGUGGAGCAUGUGGUUUAAUUCGAUGCAACGCGAAGAACCUUACCUGGUCUUGACAUCCACAGAACUUUCCAGAGAUGGAUUGGUGCCUUCGGGAACUGUGAGACAGGUGCUGCAUGGCUGUCGUCAGCUCGUGUUGUGAAAUGUUGGGUUAAGUCCCGCAACGAGCGCAACCCUUAUCCUUUGUUGCCAGCGGUUCGGCCGGGAACUCAAAGGAGACUGCCAGUGAUAAACUGGAGGAAGGUGGGGAUGACGUCAAGUCAUCAUGGCCCUUACGACCAGGGCUACACACGUGCUACAAUGGCAUAUACAAAGAGAAGCGACCUCGCGAGAGCAAGCGGACCUCAUAAAGUAUGUCGUAGUCCGGAUUGGAGUCUGCAACUCGACUCCAUGAAGUCGGAAUCGCUAGUAAUCGUAGAUCAGAAUGCUACGGUGAAUACGUUCCCGGGCCUUGUACACACCGCCCGUCACACCAUGGGAGUGGGUUGCAAAAGAAGUAGGUAGCUUAACCUUCGGGAGGGCGCUUACCACUUUGUGAUUCAUGACUGGGGUGAAGUCGUAACAAGGUAACCGUAGGGGAACCUGCGGUUGGAUCACCUCCUU
Molecule: ribosomal RNA, 1535 nt
Filed under: Klebsiella pneumoniae
Lineage: Bacteria; Pseudomonadati; Pseudomonadota; Gammaproteobacteria; Enterobacterales; Enterobacteriaceae
Description: bacterial SSU rRNA
Rfam family: Bacterial small subunit ribosomal RNA
Source: RNAcentral